This is a long non-coding RNA of Rhipicephalus sanguineus (brown dog tick), 2334 nucleotides long. RefSeq lists it as uncharacterized. The record is from RefSeq and is a predicted model, not a curated record. The transcript has 3 exons. NCBI's taxonomy places the organism in Eukaryota, Metazoa, Arthropoda, Arachnida, Ixodida, Ixodidae.
UAUGAAAGCGUAUCCCCGGAGUCGGGGCUCUCCCGGUUUGGCGCGAAACCGGAUCUGACGUUACCAUAGGGAGGUACUCCCUGCCCCUAGACAGGUACUGUUGUAGCUAGGGAAAGAUCCGACGAUUCCUCGGCCUUGUCCCCAGCCUUUACUUGCCUAUGUUCUACUCGGUACCCUCACCUGUACCUCACCGCAGUCGCCGGCUUUGAGUUAUGCCUUCUUUGCGUGUGCAGGAGUCGCCUUCACUUGAAAACAUCCGUCGAGACCUGCACAUUUAGUUUUGGUGGUUUUGACGCUGUGCGAAUGGCUGAGGCCGUCUCUGCGAUGCACUCUCAGCGCGUAGACUGUCGUUUUGUACGUUGGUGGUAACGACGUUUGCAGUGCCAACGCGGACCCUCAAGAAUAGGGAAGUUAGUUCUGCAACUGCAGACGAUGUGGCCCCCGUGGUGUAUACGUCUUCAAAGUGCUGCCACGUUGCUCCAGCUCUGAAGACGCCGAUGCAGAGCGCCAGAUCAAGAAAACGCGCUUGCUGAACCGCAAGCUGACGGCUACGCUGAAACGCCUGCCGUGUGUUCGAAUCUUAAACGCCGAGCAUGUUGGUCUUCAUUCGAGAGCUGUCUCACCUUUGGAUGUUCAGAGGCAUCCACUUCCACCUUGAGCACCGCACCGUGCAGCCAACGCUCCGCGGAGCGUCUCUCGCGGGCGGCUGGGGCACGCAAGCGCAGUGACAACUGUAGGUGGUGCCUUCGCCGCGUCGUCUGCUAAAGCGCAGCGGCUCCGCCCAAUCGCGCUUGCUCUUCGAUGAAGGUAACUUAAUCUCAUGGAAAUCGAGAAGCGCAGCGACUGCGCCUCGUUCCGCACUGCUUUUUCUCCUACUGUUUUCUUUUUCUGCAUGCGAUCUUAAAAGUAAUAAACCUUGGCCCGUGCAUGAGUGAGAUCGCCAAGCCGGGCUGGCACUCCCGCAACUAAGCUACUCAGAUGCUUUGUGCCGUACAGUUAGAAUAUUCCCGCUACUCACACGGUUGUUUUCAUCAGCUGAAAGUUUGGCGACACAAAGUCGACAAUAAAAAAAAUAUAAGUUUGCGCUGUGAAUUGAAGGCUCACGGAAAACUUUCUGCUUCGUGCUAAAGUUUUGAGCCAAGAAAUAUAUAAAGCGAUACGCGGUGCUUUGGGUCACCUAGCAAUAAAAAGGGAGUCAAGCUUUAUUCAGCGCCUGCUUACAGAAGUAAUCAUUUGUCAGCGGCGCUUCUUUGGUGAACUGAUUGUGUGAUAUGAGUUCAGCUGAAAACUCUAUUAGAAUGCUUCUUCAUUUUUCUGCAUGAAUGGUACGAAUAAGCAUGGUUGCACAUGAGUAGCAAAUUAGGGCGGCGUAUUGGCGAGUUAAAUUCGCUAGCGCAUGAAGGCAGCAGUGCUGAUAACACCUGAAUGUAAUGUAACUUCUCUGAAAUUGGCAAAUUGCUCACAUCCUUUUGUUUUCAGGCGAGUAACAAUCCAAACUUUCGCACAUUUAAAGCUGUUAUGUCAGACCUUACCAUGCAUUUAUCGCCAAUUUUGCGGCGCCUAGCUUUGAAGCUGAUCAAAAACAUUUGCGUGAGCAGCGGGAACAUUCUGGCUACUGGGCUCAAAGGAGCUGAGUUGCUUAGUUGUAGGAGUUCAAGCGUGGCUGUGAAAGUUUACUCAUGCACGGACCGAGGUUUAUUGGUUGUGAGAUCGCAUCCAGAAAUGAAAGAAAACACUAGCAGCAAAAGCUAGACGGAACAAGGUGCAGUCGCUUCGCUUCUUCUGAACCGUGCCGGAUGCUGGAUUUGCAUGCGCAUAGCAAGAGCGAAGUUAGCUUCACCGCAAAGCAAGUACAAUUCGGCAGAGCUGCCGCGCUUUAGCAGACGACGCGGCGAAGGCUCCGCCUAGAGCUGUCACUGCGCAUACGCGCUAGUUACCCAAGCAACCAAGAGAGGCGCUCCGCGGAGUGCUGGUCGCACGGUGCGGUGUUCAAGGUGGAAGUGGACGACUCUGUACCUCAGCUGAAAGAACCCUCUCAACAUCACAGCUUUCAUUAGCUAUAGUCGGGCACAACUUUAGAAGGCAGCGGCACUUUCCCCUCAAAGGCGGAUGCAUACGAGCCUCCACCAAUAGGCGCGCACUUCAGGUGACGUCAUGAGCCGGACGGCCGGUGACCCCGCCGACGGAGAACAUGCCUAACAUGCCUAGCGGGACUAUUUCUUUAGACGCGGAGGCAAUCCACCUUUUGCAUGUCUGUGUGGCGCCCUCUCUCGGGGCACUACGAGAAACAAACCGUACGGCGUCGCGGCGCGCGUCUGCUACCACCGCCAUACC